GGCUGUGUAGCUCAACGGCAGAGCAAAGCCCUCAUAAAGCUAAGACGGAAGUUCGACUCUUCCCACAGCCA
RNAcentral lists this transfer RNA (71 nucleotides) under bacterium. RNAcentral's name for it is "tRNA-Met". It matches the Rfam family "tRNA". Rfam says of the family: Transfer RNA (tRNA) molecules are approximately 80 nucleotides in length. Their secondary structure includes four short double-helical elements and three loops (D, anti-codon, and T loops). Further hydrogen bonds mediate the characteristic L-shaped molecular structure. tRNAs have two regions of fundamental functional importance: the anti-codon, which is responsible for specific mRNA codon recognition, and the 3' end, to which the tRNAs corresponding amino acid is attached (by aminoacyl-tRNA synthetases). tRNAs cope with the degeneracy of the genetic code in two manners: having more than one tRNA (with a specific anti-codon) for a particular amino acid; and 'wobble' base-pairing, i.e. permitting non-standard base-pairing at the 3rd anti-codon position. The record is from RNAcentral.